RNAcentral lists this ribosomal RNA (230 nucleotides) under uncultured bacterium. RNAcentral's name for it is "partial 16S ribosomal RNA". It matches the Rfam family "Bacterial small subunit ribosomal RNA", at positions 562 to 791 of the family's 1533-position model. The record is from RNAcentral.
AAAGCGUGCGCAGGCGGUUAUAUAAGACAGAUGUGAAAUCCCCGGGCUCAACCUGGGAACUGCAUUUGUGACUGUAUAGCUGGAGUGCGGCAGAGGGGGAUGGAAUUCCGCGUGUAGCAGUGAAAUGCGUAGAUAUGCGGAGGAACACCGAUGGCGAAGGCAAUCCCCUGGGCCUGCACUGACGCUCAUGCACGAAAGCGUGGGGAGCAAACAGGAUUAGAUAGCCUUGU